AGGUCAAGUACAUGCUGGAGAGUAAGAUGGCAGAGCCUUCUUUCUCCAGUUGGGCUUCUCCCUGUAUCUUGGUCAGUAAACCGGAUGGAACAAACCGAUUUUGUACGGACUACCGUAAGGUAAAUAGUGUCACAAAGCCAGAUUCAUUUCCUCUUCCUCGAAUGGAGGACUGUGUUGAUCAAGUCGGUGCAGCUAAGUUUGUGAGCAAAUUUGACCUGUUAAAAGGCUAUUGGCAGGUGCCACUGACGAGUAGGGCACGUGAAAUCUCUGCCUUUAUUACACCCUUUGGUCUGUACUCGUAUUCGGUUAUGAGUUUCGGUUUGCGCAAUGCACCUGCCACUUUUCAGCGACUUAUGAACAGGGUUGUUGCCGGUCUGACCGGGUGCGCUGUUUAUUUGGACGAUGUAGUGAUCUAUGCAGAUACUUGGGAAGAACAUCUGUCCCGUAUUCAAGCCUUGUUCGAACGUCUGGCUGCGGGUCGCCUCACAAUCAAUCUGGCUAAAUGAUGCCGGUGGGCGGAGUUGGGGAGGGUCGUCAGCUACAUGGGAAACACCUGGGCCAGGUGUGUCCCAGGAUAAAUAGACCUCUUCCACAUUCAUGGAGAAGACUCUCUCCAUACAGACACCAUUGUAGAUUGUGUUGUGGUUCUUGGUGGCCUUUUGUUUGUUUGCAUUGGCACCUUUCAAUACCCUGCAUUAUCACAUUCAUGCAUGCAAAACACUCACUUACACUACUGAUUACUGAUUACACACACCAUUGUAUAUUUUCCUUAGUUGCUUUAGUUAAUAAAUAUAUAUUUUGUUACUCCUUA
Molecule: long non-coding RNA, 811 nt
Organism: Oncorhynchus masou masou (cherry salmon)
Lineage: Eukaryota; Metazoa; Chordata; Actinopteri; Salmoniformes; Salmonidae
Exons: 2
Source: RefSeq, a predicted model, not a curated record